GCUUCAGGCAGCCGGGGCCGGAAAUGUCGGAAACAGCGGCUGUAGGAAUAUCACCUUUUCUGCCUCAUUUUCUAUCGAGCUGCAGGGACAAGUGGGCUAGGCUGAGUAAUGGGCCCCUCCCAGCGCAUCUGGGUCCCAACGUGUCCGGGUCCUAAUCUCCACGAUCUGUGAAGAUGUUAACUCAGGUGAAGAAGAGGACUUUGUAGGUGUGAUGAAGGGUUUUGAGACAGGAGACCACUCUGGAUUCUCCCGGUGGGCCCGACGCCAUCAUGGGGCCUUUGUGAGAGAGAGGCUGAGGCUGACUGAGGAUGGAGUCCCACCCACUGGGAAAGGGAGAGGCCCCCAGGGUCCCAAACUCCAGGGACAAGAGAAGACUCAAGGAGGGAUCCGGAGGCCAAGGCUGGAGAGCAGCUAUGGGACCUUCCCUCCCACAGGUGGUGGGACAAGGGGGGUCUGGACAUGUCAUCGUGGCAUGGAGCCUGUUUUGUGACUAAAAGCAGCCGGAUGGGAAGCCCGAGGGCGACCAGGAGAGUCUUGCAGCAGUAGCAGCUCUUCCCCAGAGACAAAGAGCACCGGGGCGGAGGGGGCACAGGGGACACCAAGGCUGCAUUUUGCCACCAGCCCCACCGCCCGCAAGGCUGACUGCCGCUCCCGCCCAUGCUCUUCCCUGCUGGCCCAGGUCCAGCCUCUGCCGUGCCUGUGCCCCCUCGGCCUCCCUGCCUGGGCUCCCCAGGCCACCCACACUGCCCAGCUGCUCCUGCAACUCUCCACAGCCCCAUCGUGGGGACGCGCCGGAGACAUCCCUGGACAUUCCAGACGUCCCUGCCCUCCGGCAGGAGAGCCCAUUUCCUGCCACUUUGUGUGGUUCUUGGGGCUCUCCACGGCCUCCCUCCCUCGCCCUGUGUGCUCUGUCCCCACUGUCCCCAGACUGCUUCUGCCCUGGGAGCACAGCACGUGCCCCAGGACCUUUGUGCAUACUCUUCCCAAGUCAGUCUCUCCCCUGCCCCUUCACACUUCCUCCUUCCUGGAAGUCCUACAGCGUCCUCUGCAGCGGCACAUCCGUCACUCUUCAUGGAGCCAUGGCCACUGCUCCUGGGCAGAGCCCGCCCUCCCUCCCUUCCUCCUGAGGAUGUCCUGGCACUUUAUUCCUUUCCAGCAAAAGGAACUGCGCUCAAAGUGGGAUAUGGGGCAGGCAAGAUGUGGCCUCGUCCUGAGGACCUUCGGGACACGGUGUACGGAGACGCUGACAGGCAGAGAGGCAUCAGGACCGUGGCAGUGACAGGGGUGCGAGUCAAGCCCGAUGUGACUUGGGCUGCAGUCAUAGUACAUGGUUAGGGGACACGAGGACACACGCCCCUCACUACUGUAAUAGGUUAACUUACUUAUGGAAUGUAAUAGAUACCUUGUUGCAAACUGCUUCCCCUCCCCUUCUCUGUGGUCACUAAGAUCCGCCCAAGGCCAAGCUUACAGAACAUUCUCUUGGUCAUGGCUAACUAUGACUGGUCAUUUUAAAAGAACAAAGAACUUUAAAUUGAUAGGUUCCCCUGCAAACUAGCAUCUAUGUAUUACAAUGUAAUUGGCUACCAUGGAAUGAUAUGAAUGUAAUUGGUGAACUAAAUAAUGACGUAUUCUGUCCAUAUAAUCUCACUGCCGCCUUUGUUCGGGCCAUUCUCUGCUCCUUAAAACCAGGAGACCAGGACUGGCCCAGCCGUGAAUAAAGUCUUGCCUAAAAUGU
Suricata suricatta (meerkat) is the source of this 1735-nucleotide long non-coding RNA. RefSeq lists it as uncharacterized. The record is from RefSeq and is a predicted model, not a curated record. The transcript is spliced from 3 exons. NCBI's taxonomy places the organism in Eukaryota, Metazoa, Chordata, Mammalia, Carnivora, Herpestidae.